CCCGCUGAGUUUAAGCAUAUCAAUAAGCGGAGGAAAAGAAACUUACUAGGAUUCCCCCAGUAACGGCGAGUGAACCGGAAAAAGCCCAGCUUGAGAAUCGGGCGCCACCGGCGUUCGAAUUGUAGUCUGGAGAAGCGUCCUCAGCGACAGACCGGGCCCAAGUCCCUUGGAAAGGGGCGCCGGAGAGGGUGAGAGCCCUGUCGUGCCCGGACCCUGUCGUACCACGAGGCACUGUCUACGAGUCGGGUUGUUUGGGAAUGCAGCCCUAAUCGAGUGGUAAAUUCCGUCCAAGGUUAAAUACGGGCGAGAGACCGAUAGCGAACAAGUACCGCGAGGGAAAAAUGAAAAGGACUUUGAAAAGAUAGUCAAAGAGUGCUUGAAAUUGUCGGGAGGGGAGCGGAUGGGGGCUGGCAAUGUGCCUUGGUCGGAUGUGGAACGGCGAGAACCAGUCCGUCGAUCAGCUCGAAGGGUGGACAGACGCGGGUCGUGGCGGCGGUCCAAGCUCGGGCCUUUGAUUCGCCUGUAGAGACAUCGUCGCCUCGAUUGUGGGAUCCAGAACGCGCCGUCUCGGCGUAGUUUGGCACCUGCUUGCUCCAGGUGUCGAUCGGUGGGCUCUCCAUUCGGCCCAUUUUGAAACACGG
This 641-nucleotide non-coding RNA is filed under the name Gossypium arboreum. Its description in RNAcentral is "Eukaryotic large subunit ribosomal RNA". It matches the Rfam family "Eukaryotic large subunit ribosomal RNA", at positions 24 to 664 of the family's 3401-position model. Lineage: Eukaryota; Viridiplantae; Streptophyta; Magnoliopsida; Malvales; Malvaceae. The record is from Rfam by way of RNAcentral.